AUCCAGCUGAUGAGUCCCAAAUAGGACAAAACAAGCGUCCUGGAU
Schistosoma mansoni is the source of this 45-nucleotide non-coding RNA. Lineage: Eukaryota; Metazoa; Platyhelminthes; Trematoda; Strigeidida; Schistosomatidae. The record is from Rfam.